AGGGGGACCUUCAGCUCGUCUACCUGCACCUGCGGGCAUGAAACGCAGGCCCUUUAAAAUAGGGCGUCAGUACGAAAAAUAUACUGAGUAUGUAAGGCAACAGAAUAACUGAAAGCUAAAACUGAACUGAUAAUAUAAUAACUGAAAACAAUUGGGAGUCAAAGAAAAUCUGAAGAUAUGCUCAUCUGCUGAUACUAACUCAAUUCUCUCAAUAUAGUGAGUAAAAUAGUUGUCCGGCCUUAUAAGGCUCAGUAUACAUACAUAUCCGCUCUACCGUAGUAGGCUCGCUCAUAAGCACUCGGCCAUACUAGGCUUUGUUUCUCGACCAAAUGGGCUCGCUCAUAGGCGCUCGGCCACAGUAGGAUCGGUAUAUAACUUACCAUCUGAUAAGAGGUUGCCUAAUAGGGGCCUGCCCAUCGAUCAUAGCUUGAUGGUAAUAAAAAUACUUUUAAUACUGUACAUAUUUAAACUCUCUGCUCUUUUGUCUAGAAGAAGGAAAUACUCAACUGAAUGCGCAGUCUCGAUAAGAAGAAUAUGGUAACUUACAAAACUAGGAAAAUAUAUAUAAUUUGCGAGACUAGCAAAAUAUACGUAAAUUCCGGGAUAUGAAUUUUUCCUUAUGCCUCAUUAUCAAACUUGUAUAAUUACGAUAUCAUGCCAAAAUGAAGGAAAAUUUUAGCAUUAGCAUACCUGGAGUAGGAAAAACUUCGUAUAAUACUCCGUUGGGAAACCUUCGUUCACUGAGUGAAACUUGCCCCUGCUUCUUUAAAAAUUCACGAACGAAAUUCUUCUGCUUCCUUGAACUUUAUGGAACGAAUCACAUUUAUUUUGGCUUGGAAGGACCAAAGCUUCUGUUCCUAAUGCCUUUGGUUUUAAACCAAAGACAGAACGUGUGUAAUUUCCAUACUAAGGCUUCUGUUUGUUCCUAAUGUCUUUGG
This 938-nucleotide long non-coding RNA is filed under the name Nicotiana tabacum (common tobacco). RNAcentral describes it as "long non-coding RNA (NTAB_LNC007886)". Lineage: Eukaryota; Viridiplantae; Streptophyta; Magnoliopsida; Solanales; Solanaceae. The record is from RNAcentral.